Onychostruthus taczanowskii (white-rumped snowfinch) is the source of this 1729-nucleotide long non-coding RNA. RefSeq lists it as uncharacterized. The transcript is spliced from 2 exons. The record is from RefSeq and is a predicted model, not a curated record. NCBI's taxonomy places the organism in Eukaryota, Metazoa, Chordata, Aves, Passeriformes, Passeridae.
AUUUUUGGAGGACUGGCUCCUUGGCACUCCCAGGAUCAGACUUUGGAAGGACUGGCUCUUUGGGCAUGCCAACCACCAGAUUUUGGAAGGACUGGCUCCUGGGGCUGCCUGGGAUCACAUUUUGGAGGACUGGCUCUUUGGGGAUGCCCAGGAUCACAUUUUGGAAGGUCUGGCUCCUUGGGGAUGCCCACCACCAGAUUUUUGGAAGAACUGCCUUCCUGGGGUUGCCUGGGAUCACAUUUUGGAAGGACUGGCUCUUUGGUGCUGCCCACCACCAGAUUUUGGAACGACUGGCUCCCUGGAGCUGCCCAGGAUCAGAUUUUGGAAGACUGGCUACUCCCAAGAACCAGAUUUUUGGAUGACUGUCUCCCUGGGGAUGCCCACCACCAGAUUUUUGGAAGAACUGCCUUCCUGGGGUUGCCUGGGAUCACAUUUUGGAAGGACUGGCUCUUUGGUGCUGCCCACCACCAGAUUUUGGAACGACUGGCUCCCUGGAGCUGCCCAGGAUCAGAUUUUGGAAGACUGGCUACUCCCAAGAACCAGAUUUUUGGAGGACUGACUCUUUGGAGCUGCCCACCACCAGAUUUUUGGAAGGACUGGCUCUUUGGGGAUGCCCAGGAUGAGAUUUUUGGAGGACUGGCUACUCCCAAGAACCAGAUUUUUGGAGGACUGUCUCCCUGGGGCUGCCCAGAACCAGAUUUUUGGAGGACUGUCUCCCUGGGGCUGCCCACCCCCAGAUUUUGGAGGACUGUCUCCCUGGGGCUGCCCACCCCAGGUUCUGGCUGCAGACCCCCGCAGGGGGACACGGAGCCGUCCCUGGAGCAGCUCCCGAGGAGGAGGAAGGUGAUCUGCUGAUGGAUGCAGCAUUCCUGGCUUCUGGAAGAGUUUUCCCUCUCCUCCCCUCACCUGGACGAGCUCAGGUGGAUUUUUGCUUCUGAUCCCAGAGGAACCAACUCCAGCAGCUCCUGCAGGGCCGAGGCAGCGGAGCAGGCGUUUGCAGGCUUGUGGUUUUUGGGGUUUUUCUGGUUGUUUUUGGUUUUUUUAAAAUUUUUUUUCCUGGAAAUAGCACCUUCUGCUGCUGCUGCUCUGCCUAAACUUCUGCUCUGGAGCAGAAGCUGGGGAUGCUGUGCCAGGUGCUGCCCAGCCCCUUCCCUCCCCUGGGGGCUUCACAAAAAUCACUUUUUUUGGCCCCAAACAGCCUUGGCUGCGCGCAGACGCUUCAGAAACAACAACUGCGUUUUGUAAUUAUGUAAAAAACCCCCGUUGGGCGGGGGAGAGGGCGCGGGGAAGCUGUAAAUGUCUGUAAAUCUGUGGAAUAUAUACAUUUUUGCAGAGCUGGAGAUACAAAAAGGAGGAAUUCCCUCUGGCUGUGGCUUCGUUCCUGGUGGGAAGCGGCAUUCCUGUGGCUCCAGCCUUCCCUGGGGCGGCAGCAGUGGCCACAGCUGAUGUUUCUGUUGGGUUUUAAAUCUUUUUUUUUUAUUUUUUUUUCAAUUUUUUUGUCCCUUUUGGCGGGGGUGGGGGAGCUGGGGAAGUUCAUUCUGGCCGCUUCCUCCUCCUCUUCCUCCUCCUCCUCCUCCAAGCCGUGAGCCGUGCAGAGUAAAGAAUGUAAAAUUCACUUUACACCCAAAAAACGUCAAAUUUCUGCUUUCUGGGGCCGCUCCCUCAAGGUGGCUUCGAUGCCCAGGCCAGCUGUGGUUCCAUCAAUAAAUGUCAUUAUUUUUAUUUUUUA